AUUGAACGCUGGCGGAAUGCUUUACACAUGCAAGUCGAACGGCAGCACGGACUUCGGUCUGGUGGCGAGUGGCGAACGGGUGAGUAAUGUAUCGGAACGUGCCCAGUCGUGGGGGAUAACGUAGUGAAAAUUACGCUAAUACCGCAUACGAUCUAUGGAUGAAAGCGGGGGAUCGCAAGACCUUGCGCGAUUGGAGCGGCCGAUAUCAGAUUAGGUAGUUGGUGGGGUAAAGGUCCACCAAGCCAACGAUCUGUAGCUGGUCUGAGAGGACGACCAGCCACACUGGAACUGAGACACGGUCCAGACUCCUACGGGAGGCAGCAGUGGGGAAUUUUGGACAAUGGGCGAAAGCCUGAUCCAGCCAUUCCGCGUGCAGGAUGAAGGCCCUCGGGUUGUAAACUGCUUUUGUACAGAACGAAAAGGUUUCUACUAAUACUAGGAGCUCAUGACGGUACUGUAAGAAUAAGCACCGGCUAACUACGUGCCAGCCGCCGCAGUAA
This 500-nucleotide ribosomal RNA is filed under the name uncultured bacterium. RNAcentral's name for it is "partial 16S ribosomal RNA". It matches the Rfam family "Bacterial small subunit ribosomal RNA", at positions 30 to 523 of the family's 1533-position model. The record is from RNAcentral.